This 202-nucleotide long non-coding RNA is filed under the name Homo sapiens (human). Its description in RNAcentral is "HSALNT0182096". Lineage: Eukaryota; Metazoa; Chordata; Mammalia; Primates; Hominidae. The record is from RNAcentral.
CUGCAAAUGGCUUUUUGAUGAACCCCAUGUGUGCAGUGUUGCUCCCCAAGGUCCCAAGUUUCUCUGGAGAACAUCCCCACUCAGCCAGGAGGAGGCGCUCUGUCCAGGUUUGGAGAGGUGAAAACAUUUCCCAGUGGAAAACCAAAUAGAAAUGCGCCAGUAACCUCUCUGUGCCUACUCGGGCUUGGGAGCCUGCCUGAUU